CGAUGUCGAUUUGGAGUUUGGGGGCAUGACCCUUGGGCUCCGGAGCUAACGCGUUAAAUCGACCGCUGGGGAGUACGGCCGCAAGGUUAAAACUCAAAUGAAUUGACGGGGGCCCGCACAGCGGUGGAGCAUGUGGUUUAAUUCGAUGCAACGCGAAGAACCUUACCUGGUCUUGACAUCCAUAGAAUCUUUCAGAGAUGAGAGAGUGCCUUCGGGAGCUAUGAGACAGGUGCUGCAUGGCUGUCGUCAGCUCGUGUUGUGAAACGUUGGGUUAAGUCCCGCAACGAGCGCAACCCCUAUCCUUUGUUGCCAGCACGUAAUGGUGGGAACUCAAAGGAGACUGCCGUUGAUAAAGCGGAGGAAGGUGGGGACGACGUCAAGUCAUCAUGGCCCUUACGACCAGGGCUACACACGUGCUACAAUGGCGUAUACAAAGGGAUGCGAAGGUGCGAACUGGAGCGGACCUCACAAAGUACGCCUAAGUCCGGAUUGGAGUCUGCAACUCGACUCCAUGAAGUCGGAAUCGCUAGUAAUCGUGAAUCAGAAUGUCACGGUGAAUACGUUCCCGGGCCUUGUACACACCGCCCGUCACACCAUGGGAGUGGGUUGCACCAGAAGUAGAUAGCUUAACCUUCGGGAGGGCGUUUACCACGGUGUGGUUCAUGACUGGGGUGAAGUCGUAACAAGGUAACCA
RNAcentral lists this ribosomal RNA (694 nucleotides) under uncultured Enterobacteriaceae bacterium. Its description in RNAcentral is "bacterial SSU rRNA". It matches the Rfam family "Bacterial small subunit ribosomal RNA", at positions 807 to 1502 of the family's 1533-position model. Lineage: Bacteria; Pseudomonadati; Pseudomonadota; Gammaproteobacteria; Enterobacterales; Enterobacteriaceae. The record is from RNAcentral.